AGAAACAUUUACUUUUGCCCUUUGGCUACUGAAGUAAUAUGAUAAUUUGCAAACCUCUUUUUUUUUCUCUAUGGGAUACUAAAUUGUAGAAAAUGACAGCUUAACUGUCUAUUUUGCAGAUUGAUGUAGGCAUUGGAUCUUCAUCAUUUGCAAAAUCACAGGGCCCGAAAUGACUCAUUGAUAGUGGAUGUUUGCCAGGGUCAAUAUAAGUCAACACUGGUUUGCCCAGCAUGUGGAAAGAUUUCAAUCACUUUUGAUCCCUUCAUGUAUUUGUCGUUGCCGCUACCUUCAACUGCAACUCGGCAAAUAACCGUGACUGUGUUUUACGGCGAUGGAAGUGGUCUUCCUAUGCUAUACACUGUUAGUUUGCUAAAGCAAGGUUGUUGUAAAGAUCUUAGUGAACAACUAAGUAAUGCUUGUUGCUUGAAUGCUGAUGAGAUUCUUCUGCUUGCAGAGGUUUAUGAACAUAAGAUUUUUCGAUAUUUGGAAAACCCCUCAGAGCUAUUGGCUCCAAUUAAGGAGGAUGACCACUUAUAGACUUUCUAAAAACGUCGUGGGAAG
This is an RNA transcript of Humulus lupulus (European hop), 561 nucleotides long. It is a transcript of the gene named putative ubiquitin carboxyl-terminal hydrolase 11, with no coding region annotated. Lineage: Eukaryota; Viridiplantae; Streptophyta; Magnoliopsida; Rosales; Cannabaceae. The record is from RefSeq and is a predicted model, not a curated record. The transcript has 3 exons.